This 440-nucleotide ribosomal RNA is filed under the name uncultured bacterium. RNAcentral's name for it is "partial 16S ribosomal RNA". It matches the Rfam family "Bacterial small subunit ribosomal RNA", at positions 338 to 795 of the family's 1533-position model. The record is from RNAcentral.
CCUACGGGAGGCAGCAGUGGGGGAUAUUGCACAAUGGGGGAAACCCUGAUGCAGCGACGCCGCGUGGGUGAAGAAGCGCCUCGGCGCGUAAAGCCCUGUCAGCAGGGAAGAAAAUGACGGUACCUGAAGAAGAAGCCCCGGCUAACUCCGUGCCAGCAGCCGCGGUAAUACGGGGGGUGCAAGCGUUGUCCGGAAUCAUUGGGCGUAAAGAGUUCGUAGGUGGCACGUUAAGUCUGGUGUUAAAGGCGGAAGCUCAACUUCCGUAGGGCACUGGAUACUGGCGAGCUUGAAUGCGGUAGAGGUAAAGGGAAUUCCUGGUGUAGCGGUGAAAUGCGUAGAUAUCAGGAGGAACAUCGGUGGCGUAAGCGCUUUACUGGGCCGUAAUUGACACUGAGGAACGAAAGCCGGGGUAGCAAAUGGGAUUAGAUACCCGGGUAGUC